CAAAUCGUAUACGCAACGCAUAUUUUCAUGUAAAACUGUCAAAUUUAUGUAUAGUUUUGAUAAUGGCGCUUUGUUAUAAAAUUUACUUUAAUUCAAGUAUUUUACAUUUAAUCAUUUGGUUUUUCAUGGUUUGGCCAAUAAGAAUCAGCAAUGCAUUUAGGAUCCCGGAAAUUGGUGAAUAUAAAAGUCAAGUUGGGUUAGCAUUAACCGAGAUCAGCCCUAGAAGGAGUAUGGUUUACUGUGGUGGAACAUUAGUAACCCUGCUGCAUGUGGUAGUAACUCCACAAUGCUUCUUGAAUACCCGAUUUGUAUGUGAAAUUAUUGGCCAAAAAGUGUACGCGGGGAUGAAUAAUUAUCUGGACCCCGACUUGAAGUACUUACAAAUUAGACAUGUAUCAACUGUUAUUAGGCAUCCUCGAUCUACAGAUUCUGAUCAAAUAUUGAAUGCACUGAUGGUCUUGACACUGAAUUCAUCUUUUAUACAAACAUGUGCAGUUCGAUCCGCCAUGAUGGCUUCAGUGAAUCCACCUAUGAAAACUAGAUGCUCUCUGUUGUUCUGGCGAGAUUUAAGGCAACAUAUGGAAAGACCUUGGGCUCCGAUUGUCUUAAAAAAAUAUGUUUCCGAAUGCACAGGAAAAUAUUCUAAGGAGAAACCUGGAGUGUUAUGUUUUAAAAAUGUUGUUGCUGGUGAACAACUAACGGAUAUAGAUUUGGAUGACGUUUAUGCAACUGUCCUGUGAAGCGAAAGAGUAUAUGAAGUUACUGCUGAAAGUGUUGCAUAUCACAGCGAUUGGAUUAAUGAUGUUAUUGGAAGGAAACGGUUUCAUCACGCGAGUUCAAUUGGACGCCUU
RNAcentral lists this unclassified non-coding RNA (851 nucleotides) under Hermetia illucens (black soldier fly). RNAcentral describes it as "uncharacterized LOC119652446, transcript variant X3". Lineage: Eukaryota; Metazoa; Arthropoda; Insecta; Diptera; Stratiomyidae. The record is from RNAcentral.